CAAAACUCUUGAGUAUAUAGCAGCCUGCUGCCUGUUCACUUACCAUCUGUGGGUGUGCUGUGCAUCCCAAAGGCGAGAUUUUUGUUCUCCAGGAUCUGGAGGGCAUGGCGGAGGCAUCCGAAAUCAGAGUGUAGCGCAUCCUCAGGCUGCCGAGAUGAGGGCGAGCCAUGCAGUACAGGGAAAGAUUGCUGCUGACUCCGGUGGUCCAGGGGGAGCCGGUCCGGAACCCUCGUCUACUCCUGGACCCAACCGGCACCGCACCCCCACCCCCGCUUUCCCAGCUGCUUUGCAGCGCUCCCAGGACGCCUCCAGGUGGCGCGCUGCUGUCCCGUCCUUCCAACCCAGCCUCAGUCACUGCUCCAGAGAUGGGGAGGGCCAGCUUCUCUGGAGAUGGAACCUGGAGCGGUCAAAAUAAUCCUGGGCAUAGGGGUGGAGGCGGGGAGGAGAGUGUGGCUCGGGGCGCCUCCCGGGAUGCCUGGUGCUGCCAGAGCUGGAGGAGCUGGGGCGGGCCGCGCCGGGAUCGGGGAUUCCUUGGGAGUGUUCAAAGCUGCGUGGAUCUGGUCCAGUCCCUCGAUCGCGUAGGAGCAGAAAGGAGGAAGGAUCUCAUGGAUGGAGCGGAGCCGGGAUCAGAACAAAAAUGUUAUCUGUUAGACUUGCGCUGUGAAGAAGAUGAGAAUGGAUGUGACCUCUUCCUGGGACAGAUGACAGAUUGUCAAUGAUUUUCUUUGGAUUAUUGGCCAAGGUUUGGCAGCCCGGAGAUUUUUUUGGAGGUAAGUGAGAUUAUAGGGACUUAGAACUAGUAUGUGUACAUGAUACCAUUUAGUUAGGCUUCCCAUUCUUUAAAUCAUCUCUUUGUUUGUAAACAGGUGACAAACAUAAAAUAAAAACAGUUAUGUUGGUUUGGGCUAAGAGGUAGUAAGUAUAUUUGAGAAAUCUUCCCCUAUUUUUCUAUGAGAGACUGAAUGUACUUACCAAUGUAUAAAAGGUAGUAUGCUAUAGAAAAUUGAGAAUUGGACUCAGAGUCAGGAAUAGUGGGUUGAAAUUUCAAUUUUGAUGCAUAUUGAUGGUGGGACAUAGGGUAUAUCAGUUAAAAUCUUACUCAGGACUCUAGGCAACUGAGACUAAAAGUUCCAGAGAAGGGUCUUCUUUUUAUGGGAAGAGGGACUUUUCUUGUCUAUGAACUUCAUACCCAAUUAAACCCCAAAUCUAGGAUAGACAGUCAGGUAGACAGACAGACAGACAGUUAGAUAGAGGUACCUAAGUGGCACUGUGAAUAAUGACCAGAGCUUGGAGACAGGAGACUUAUUUAGUUCUGAUCCCAUAUAGUUAAUAUCUGUGUGAACCUGAACAAGUCACUUCUGUCUUCCUCAGUUUCUUUGACAAAAAUAAGAAUAAUAAUAACAUUUUCCUUUUAGGGUUUGUUAACCCUGAAAAUAUCAAAGACUUCUCAGAGGUUAUAUACAAACUGUCAAUUCUGAAAAAUAAAAUAAAAUAAAGCAAAAAGACACAGAAGUUAUUACACCAAUUGUCAGCUCUGACCAAAAAAAGACACAAAGAUAAUAGCAAAAACUUUAUACCAAUUGUCAGUUUUGAAAAAUGAAAUAAAUUACCCAAGUGCUCAUGGAGGUUAGAGGCAAAAAAAUCUUUCUUAAUUUUCUUGGAGGAGGGAAACUAGACACAUGUUCUUGUCCUCUAAGGCCAAGGAGAUGGAAAGCAGUGAGACUAAGCUUUGGGACAUAUACUUGUGGCUAGACAACUAAGUAGUUAGGUGUAACUGCAAUAGUGAAGUGUAACCACAGCUCUGACUACUAACAAUGAGGCA
This 1822-nucleotide long non-coding RNA is filed under the name Sarcophilus harrisii (Tasmanian devil). RNAcentral's name for it is "lncRNA (ENSSHAG00000028125.1)". Lineage: Eukaryota; Metazoa; Chordata; Mammalia; Dasyuromorphia; Dasyuridae. The record is from RNAcentral.